Molecule: ribosomal RNA, 301 nt
Filed under: uncultured bacterium
Lineage: Bacteria
Description: partial 16S ribosomal RNA
Rfam family: Bacterial small subunit ribosomal RNA
Source: RNAcentral
CAGUCGCCACGGUAAUACGAAGGGUGCAAGCGUUACUCGGAAUUACUGGGCGUAAAGCGUGCGUAGGUGGUUGUUUAAGUCUGCUGUGAAAGCCCUGGGCUCAACCUGGGAAUUGCAGUGGAUACUGGGCGACUAGAGUAAGGUAGAGGAUAGUGGAAUUUCCGGUGUAGCAGUGAAAUGCGUAGAGAUCGGAAGGAACAUCUGUGGCGAAGGCGACUAUCUGGGCCAUUACUGACACUGAGGCACGAAAGCGUGGGGAGCAAACAGGAUUAGAGACCCCGGUAGUCCCUGUCUCUUAUAC